GGGGAGGUGGCUGAGUGGUCGAAAGCGGUGGAUUGCUAAUCCACUGAGGCGAGGAAUGAUCGCCUCCGGGGGUUCGAAUCCCCCCCUCUCCG
RNAcentral lists this transfer RNA (92 nucleotides) under Planctomycetota bacterium. RNAcentral describes it as "Planctomycetes bacterium tRNA-Ser". It matches the Rfam family "tRNA". From Rfam's summary of the family: Transfer RNA (tRNA) molecules are approximately 80 nucleotides in length. Their secondary structure includes four short double-helical elements and three loops (D, anti-codon, and T loops). The record is from RNAcentral. Lineage: Bacteria; Pseudomonadati; Planctomycetota.